UAUGUAACACAUGUUAGAUGCUUGAAAGAUGCAAUUGCAUCGCUAGUAGAUGGACCUGCGUUGUAUUAGCUAGUAGGUAGGGUAAUGGCCUACCUAGGCAACGAUACAUAGCCGACCUGAGAGGGUGAUCGGCCACACUGGGACUGAGACACGGCCCAGACUCCUACGGGAGGCAGCAGUAGGGAAUCUUCGGCAAUGGGGGGAACCCUGACCGAGCAACGCCGCGUGAGUGAAGAAGGUUUUCGGAUCGUAAAGCUCUGUUGUUAAGGAAGAACGAGUGUGAGAAUGGAAAGUUCAUACUGUGACGGUACUUAACCAGAAAGGGACGGCUAACUACGUGCCAGCAGCCGCGGUAAUACGUAGGUCCCGAGCGUUGUCCGGAUUUAUUGGGCGUAAAGCGAGCGCAGGCGGUUAGAAAAGUCUGAAGUGAAAGGCAGUGGCUCAACCAUUGUAGGCUUUGGAAACUGUUUAACUUGAGUGCAGAAGGGGAGAGUGGAAUUNCAUGUGUAGCGGUGAAAUGCGUAGAUAUAUGGAGGAACACCGGUGGCGAAAGCGGCUCUCUGGUCUGUAACUGACGCUGAGGCUCGAAAGCGUGGGGAGCGAACAGGAUUAGAUACCCUGGUAGUCCACGCCGUAAACGAUGAGUGCUAGGUGUUAGNUCCUUUCCGGGACUUAGUGCCGCAGCUAACGCAUUAAGCACUCCGCCUGGGGAGUACGACCGCAAGGUUGAAACUCAAAGGAAUUGACGGGGGCCCGCACAAGCGGUGGAGCAUGUGGUUUAAUUCGAAGCAACGCGAAGAACCUUACCAGGUCUUGACAUCCCAGUGACCACCCUAGAGAUAGGGUUUCCCUUCGGGGCACUGGUGACAGGUGGUGCAUGGUUGUCGUCAGCUCGUGUCGUGAGAUGUUGGGUUAAGUCCCGCAACGAGCGCAACCCUUAUUGUUAGUUGCCAUCAUUGAGUUGGGCACUCUAGCGAGACUGCCGGUAAUAAACCGGAGGAAGGUGGGGAUGACGUCAAAUCAUCAUGCCCCUUAUGACCUGGGCUACACACGUGCUACAAUGGCUGGUACAACGAGUCGCAAGCCGGUGACGGCAAGCUAAUCUCUGAAAGCCAGUCUCAGUUCGGAUUGUAGGCUGCAACUCGCCUACAUGAAGUCGGAAUCGCUAGUAAUCGCGGAUCAGCACGCCG
This 1190-nucleotide ribosomal RNA is filed under the name Streptococcus anginosus. RNAcentral describes it as "bacterial SSU rRNA". It matches the Rfam family "Bacterial small subunit ribosomal RNA", at positions 180 to 1359 of the family's 1533-position model. Lineage: Bacteria; Bacillati; Bacillota; Bacilli; Lactobacillales; Streptococcaceae. The record is from RNAcentral.